CUGGCGGCGUGCCUAAUACAUGCAAGUCGAACGGUCUUUCUAUGGAAGCUUGCUUCCACUGAGAAGAUAGUGGCGAACGGGUGAGUAACACGUGGGUAACCUGCCCAUAAGAGGGGGAUAACAUCCGGAAACGGGUGCUAAUACCGCAUAGUUUUCUUGAUCGCAUGAUCGGGAAAGGAAAGACGGCCUUUGUGCUGUCGCUUAUGGAUGGACCCGCGGCGUAUUAGUUAGUUGGUGAGGUAACGGCUCACCAAGACGAUGAUACGUAGCCGACCUGAGAGGGUGAUCGGCCACAUUGGGACUGAGACACGGCCCAAACUCCUACGGGAGGCAGCAGUAGGGAAUCUUCCGCAAUGGACGAAAGUCUGACGGAGCAACGCCGCGUGAGUGAAGAAAAGGGUUUUCGGAUCGUAAAACUCUGUUGUCAGAGAAGAACAAGUUGGAGAGUAACUGCUCCAGCCUUGACGGUAUCUGACCAGAAAGCCACGGCUAACUACGUGCCAGCAGCCGC
This 511-nucleotide ribosomal RNA is filed under the name uncultured bacterium. RNAcentral's name for it is "bacterial SSU rRNA". It matches the Rfam family "Bacterial small subunit ribosomal RNA", at positions 36 to 518 of the family's 1533-position model. The record is from RNAcentral.